Dreissena polymorpha is the source of this 426-nucleotide long non-coding RNA. RefSeq lists it as uncharacterized. NCBI's taxonomy places the organism in Eukaryota, Metazoa, Mollusca, Bivalvia, Myida, Dreissenidae. The record is from RefSeq and is a predicted model, not a curated record. The transcript is spliced from 3 exons.
CUUUGAUAUUUGACAUUAAACAUCGUCUGGAAUACCUCUACCAAUAUUGUUCAAAUUAUGCCUUUAAGGGUAAAAAUUGGCCCAACCCUGAAGGCAAAUAUGUUUUCCUAUAUGUAUAUUGUAAAAACUUCUUCCCUGAAACCACAAUGCCAAGAGCUUGGAUAUUUGCUUUCAAACAUGGGCUGAUGGACCCUUACAAUAUGUAAUUUGUAAAACAGUAUGAGAUACAUGUAUAAUAAUAAAAUACAAAAUUGAGGUGUAAUUUGUAUAAUUCAAGGUACAGAUAAAAAAGCGGAAAACUGGAGACGAAGCUUCUGACCUCAGGGUUGCCAAAAAGAAGAAUGAUAACACUUCUGGUGGGAAAGGGUUUGGCAAAAGGAAGAGAAGAUUUAUAUAUGACACAACACUGUGCAGAUCACGACUGGU